Molecule: long non-coding RNA, 1026 nt
Filed under: Zostera marina
Lineage: Eukaryota; Viridiplantae; Streptophyta; Magnoliopsida; Alismatales; Zosteraceae
Description: long non-coding RNA (ZMAR_LNC005296)
Source: RNAcentral
UAGUAGACAAAGUAGUCGUUUGUUUUUUCAGCUUUUAUGUUCUUACUCCCCCAUCCUGUCGGUUUCUCUUGCGUGAUUCCCCCCAGGUCGUGCUCCUCAAUAGCCAACUCUUCUUUAAGUCGUUGGAUCAUCUCAUCAAUGCCCAGAAUUACCAUUACAAUUUUAUUACUAUAUAUCAGACAAUAAUUAUCUUUUCCACAAUUAUCUUUUCCACAAUUAUCUUUUCCAUUAUUUUUUUUUCCACUAUCAAACCGGAGGAGCAAUUUUCCCCUUUGCAGACAAAUCCCUAGCGAAGAGAAGUUCGCAAUCCGCUAACGCAAUCAGCGAGUGAAUCGCGUGAAGUAGAAGCAUUCGUCUGAUCGCAAAUCGAAGGGAAGGCUGCCUGACCGCGAGCGAAGGCAUGUCAGUAAGCGCGAGCGAGUCGAGCGAGCCCGGUCGGCGAUUCGACCGAGAGUUGAAGACCGGUGCCAGCGAGCGAGCGAGAGCAAGCCAUGCCAACGCGCGAGUUGAAGUCCGGUCACUGACCGCGAGCGAGCCCUGGCGGCGAUCGACCGAGAAAGAGGGAUUGGAAGAGAACGAGCAUGCGAGAUCGAGAAAUGGAGAGCGAGCGAAGUCACCCCAGAUCAGCUGCACUCCACGCCUAGCCUCCAGAUCAAAUCUCCUCCCUAACCUCUUUUUUAACUUGAUCGAAUGACCUCGAGUGAGACCUCGGCUCCACGCCUCCCAGUGACCGCGAGUGAGAUCAUUUCGCGAGCAACAGUUUUCCACUUCCGACGAGCGACAGAUACAACUACCAGAAGAUAGGAGGAAACCUCGCUAUUGGUUUUUGACUUUCAAGCCGAAGACUAACACGCUACAUCUAUUCCAUACAUCUUAUCUACUUUUAGUUGUUUAGUUAAUUGAUUUGUAAUCUUUUAAUUUUUUAUUUAAUCAAAAUCGCCUUAAAAAAAAAGAAACCCAGUUGGACAGGGCAACUCUGAAUUCUCAACUGUGGUGGAUGCAGAUCUUGUUUUUCAAUAAUGUGGU